RNAcentral lists this ribosomal RNA (497 nucleotides) under uncultured bacterium. Its description in RNAcentral is "partial 16S ribosomal RNA". It matches the Rfam family "Bacterial small subunit ribosomal RNA", at positions 28 to 507 of the family's 1533-position model. The record is from RNAcentral.
GAUGAACGCUGGCGGCGUGCCUAAUACAUGCAAGUCGAGCGAACGGACGAGAAGCUUGCUUCUCUGAUGUUAGCGGCGGACGGGUGAGUAACACGUGGAUAACCUACCUAUAAGACUGGGAUAACUUCGGGAAACCGGAGCUAAUACCGGAUAAUAUUUUGAACCGCAUGGUUCAAAAGUGAAAGACGGUCUUGCUGUCACUUAUAGAUGGAUCCGCGCUGCAUUAGCUAGUUGGUAAGGUAACGGCUUACCAAGGCAACGAUGCAUAGCCGACCUGAGAGGGUGAUCGGCCACACUGGAACUGAGACACGGUCCAGACUCCUACGGGAGGCAGCAGUAGGGAAUCUUCCGCAAUGGGCGAAAGCCUGACGGAGCAACGCCGCGUGAGUGACGAAGGUCUUCGGAUCGUAAAACUCUGUUAUUAGGGAAGAACAUAUGUGUAAGUAACUGUGCACAUCUUGACGGUACCUAAUCAGAAAGCCACGGCUAACUACGUG